RNAcentral lists this ribosomal RNA (328 nucleotides) under uncultured bacterium. Its description in RNAcentral is "bacterial SSU rRNA". It matches the Rfam family "Bacterial small subunit ribosomal RNA", at positions 568 to 898 of the family's 1533-position model. The record is from RNAcentral.
UGCGCAGGCGGAUUGGUAAGUCAGUGGUGAAAUACAACGAGCUUAACUGUUGCCCUGCCAUUGAUACUGUCAGUCUAGAGUAUAGUUGGAGUGGGCGGAAUGUGUCAUGUAGCGGUGAAAUGCUUAGAUAUGACACAGAACACCGAUCGCGAAGGCAGCUCACUAAACUAAAACUGACGCUCAUGCACGAAAGCGUGGGGAUCAAACAGGAUUAGAUACCCUGGUAGUCCACGCUGUAAACGAUGAUUACUCGAUGUUGGCGAUACACAGUCAGCGUCUGAACGAAAGUAUUAAGUAAUCCACCUGGGGAUACGUUCGCAAGGAUGAA